Molecule: transfer RNA, 85 nt
Filed under: Bacteriovorax sp. BSW11_IV
Lineage: Bacteria; Pseudomonadati; Bdellovibrionota; Bacteriovoracia; Bacteriovoracales; Bacteriovoracaceae
Rfam family: tRNA
About the family: Transfer RNA (tRNA) molecules are approximately 80 nucleotides in length.
Source: Rfam by way of RNAcentral
GGUCUGGUGGCGGAAUCGGUAGACGCCCGGGAUUUAAAAUCCCGUGUCUGAAUAAGGCGUGCGAGUUCAAGUCUCGCCCAGACCA